This 66-nucleotide transfer RNA is filed under the name Pseudolycoriella hygida. Its description in RNAcentral is "Bradysia hygida tRNA-Glu". Lineage: Eukaryota; Metazoa; Arthropoda; Insecta; Diptera; Sciaridae. The record is from RNAcentral.
AUAUAUAUAAUUUAAAUUAAAAUUUUACAUUUUCAUUGUAAAAAUAAAAUUAUUUUUUUAUAUAUA